RNAcentral lists this ribosomal RNA (430 nucleotides) under uncultured bacterium. Its description in RNAcentral is "bacterial SSU rRNA". It matches the Rfam family "Bacterial small subunit ribosomal RNA", at positions 1077 to 1504 of the family's 1533-position model. The record is from RNAcentral.
GGGUUAAGUCCCGCAACGAGCGCAACCCUUGUCCAUAGUUACUAACGGGUAGUGCCGAGAACUCUAUGGAGACUGCCGGUGAUAAACCGGAGGAAGGUGGGGAUGACGUCAAGUCCUCAUGGCCUUUAUGUCCAGGGCUACGCACGUGCUACAAUGGACGGCACAAAGAGUCGCAAUACCGCGAGGUUGAGCUAAUCUCAAAAAACCGUUCUCAGUUCGGAUUGCAGUCUGCAACUCGACUGCAUGAAGCUGGAAUCGCUAGUAAUCGCGGAUCAGCACGCCGCGGUGAAUACGUUCCCGGGCCUUGUACACACCGCCCGUCACAUCACGAAAGUCGGUUGCACUAGAAGUCGGUGGGCUAACCCGGGAGGAAAGCAGCCGCCUAAAGUGUGAUCGGUAAUUGGGGUGAAGUCGUAACAAUGUUAAAGCA